RNAcentral lists this ribosomal RNA (253 nucleotides) under uncultured bacterium. RNAcentral's name for it is "partial 16S ribosomal RNA". It matches the Rfam family "Bacterial small subunit ribosomal RNA", at positions 524 to 776 of the family's 1533-position model. The record is from RNAcentral.
UACGGAGGGUGCAAGCGUUGUCCGGAUUUAUUGGGUUUAAAGGGUGCGUAGGCGGCUAUUUAAGUCAGCGGUGAAAGACAUCGGCUCAGCCGAUGCAGUGCCAUUGAUACUGGAUAGCUUGAGUGUUGGAGGGGUACAUGGAAUUGAUGGUGUAGCGGUGAAAUGCAUAGAUACCAUCAGGAACACCGAUAGCGAAGGCAUUGUACUGGCCAACAACUGACGCUGAGGCACGAAAGCAUGGGGAGCGAACAGG